This 75-nucleotide transfer RNA is filed under the name Opitutales bacterium. RNAcentral's name for it is "tRNA-Arg". It matches the Rfam family "tRNA". From Rfam's summary of the family: Transfer RNA (tRNA) molecules are approximately 80 nucleotides in length. The record is from RNAcentral. RNAcentral also lists the same sequence under 1 other name. Lineage: Bacteria; Pseudomonadati; Verrucomicrobiota; Opitutia; Opitutales.
GCUCCUGUAGUUCAAUGGAUAGAACAUCGGUUUCCGGAGCCGAGGAUGUGGGUUCGAUUCCCGCCGGGAGUACCA